Molecule: ribosomal RNA, 253 nt
Filed under: uncultured bacterium
Lineage: Bacteria
Description: partial 16S ribosomal RNA
Rfam family: Bacterial small subunit ribosomal RNA
Source: RNAcentral
UACGUAGGCAGCAAGCGUUGUUCGGAAUUACUGGGCGUAAAGAGUGCGUAGGCGGUGCUCUAAGUCUGUUGUGAAAUCUCCCGGCUUAACUGGGAGGGUGCAGCGGAAACUGGAGUGCUUGAGGGUGGGAGAGGUAAGCGGAAUUCCUGGUGUAGCGGUGAAAUGCGUAGAUAUCAGGAGGAACACCUGUGGUGUAGACAGCUUACUGGACCACUUCUGACGCUGAGGAACGAAAGCCAGGGGAGCAAACAGG